ACUCACGCGGGAAUCUUACCGGGUCCGGACACACUGAGGAUUGACAGACAAAUACACACACUUUUACGGUGUGUGCAUGAAAUAUGCUAGUUCUUUCAUGAUUAUGUGAUAGGUGGUGCAUGGCCGUUCUUAGUUCGUGGAGUGAUCUGUCUGCUUAAUUGCGUUUCACUAAAGGCACAUACACAUAAUAUUGAUGUGUUGUGUAUAAUUUAUAAUUAUACGCAUACACACAUAUUAUAUUGUGCUUUGAAAGCAACGAACGUGACCGCAACCUCUUGUUGCCUGUAUAUAUGUGUAUUUUAUACACACCACAGGCUAUUAUAAACUAGAGGGACCGCUGUUACUUUCUUUUAAACCAGAG
This 361-nucleotide ribosomal RNA is filed under the name Haynesina sp. S16. RNAcentral's name for it is "SSU rRNA". It matches the Rfam family "Eukaryotic small subunit ribosomal RNA", at positions 1198 to 1439 of the family's 1831-position model. Lineage: Eukaryota; Foraminifera; Rotaliida; Nonionidae. The record is from RNAcentral.